This is a ribosomal RNA of 437 nucleotides. It matches the Rfam family "Bacterial small subunit ribosomal RNA", at positions 341 to 792 of the family's 1533-position model.
ACGGGAGGCAGCAGUGGGGAAUAUUGGGCAAUGGGCGAAAGCCUGACCCAGCAACGCCGCGUGAAGGAAGAAGGCCUUCGGGUUGUAAACUUCUUUUGUCAGGGACGAAGGACGUGACGGUACCUGACGAAUAAGCAACGGCUAACUACGUGCCAGCAGCCGCGGUAAUACGUAGGUUGCAAGCGUUGUCCGGAUUUACUGGGUGUAAAGGGCGUGUAGGCGGAUUUGCAAGUCAGAUGUGAAAUCCCGGGGCUCAACCCCGGAACUGCAUUUGAAACUGUAGACCUUGAGUAUCGGAGAGGCAAGCGGAAUUCCUAGUGUAGCGGUGAAAUGCGUAGAUAUUGGGAGGAACACCGGUGGCGAAGGCGGCUUGCUGGGCCUUAACUGACGCUGAGGCUCGAAAGUGUGGGGAGCAAACAGGAUUAGAUACCCUGGUA